RNAcentral lists this long non-coding RNA (1260 nucleotides) under Citrus sinensis (sweet orange). Its description in RNAcentral is "long non-coding RNA (CSIN_LNC004613)". Lineage: Eukaryota; Viridiplantae; Streptophyta; Magnoliopsida; Sapindales; Rutaceae. The record is from RNAcentral.
UGAACAUAAUUGGAUGAGGCUGCUGUCCUGUUUUACGCCUACCCAAAUUCAGUCUGAUUUCAGGACUAGACUGAGUGUGGCUGCAAGCCAAUGCUGGAGUUUCUGCUUUCAACAGAGCUGUGAGUUUGUCCAUGCUUUUUCUGUGUCAUCUUUCUUAUUAUAUAAACCUGCAAUAUCUGCUAUUUUUGGGUUAAGCAUCUAGAGCUCAUCGAACUUAAAUCUGCCUUUUCCGAGUGUCUUUGCUCUAUUUCUUCACCACUUGCCUUAUUGUAUAUCUGUUAUCUAGUUUGGUUCUGAUCUUGAUGCUGAAAAAAUUCAGAUGCUCUUUGUUGAAAAUUAAUAAUCUAAAUUCUCUACAUGUUUUUGUGAUGACAUGCUUAUGGAUUUUGUGACACAAUUGCGUGGACUCCUCUUUUUCCGUUUGUGUGAAAGUUAGAUAGAGAUUUAGUCUAGUGUGUCAAGUUUUGAGUUUAUAAAUACUAAUGCAGAAAGAAAACCUUUUUGUUUAACUGUUUCUUGGUUCUCAGCUUGGAGGACAAUCUUAAGUAAAAGGUAUUAUACGUAUAAAUAUUUUUAGAAGCAUCCGAAAAAUUUUGUUGACCAAUUGAGUAGAUUUAAAAAAAUAGCAGUAGAUGCUGCAACAGGAGCUGUACCGUACAUCCGCCUUGGCCGUACAGCAGAAUUAAUUCUAUACAUCCAAUGAAAUUGAAAUUUUUUUUGUUCUUAUGCUAUUUUUAAGUUUGAAUUAUCUUUAUGUUUCUCAAAAUUACUGUAUUUUUCUCAUUUAUAGAAAGAAACUUGUAUGACUUUGAAUGUUUGUAGGUGAACAUAAUUGGAUGAGGCUGCUGUCCUGUUUUACGCCUACCCAAAUUCAGUCUGAUUUCAGGACUAGACUGAGUGUGGCUGCAAGCCAAUGCUGGAGUUUCUGCUUUCAACAGAGCUGUGAGUUUGUCCAUGCUUUUUCUGUGUCAUCUUUCUUAUUAUAUAAACCUGCAAUAUCUGCUAUUUUUGGGUUAAGCAUCUAGAGCUCAUCGAACUUAAAUCUGCCUUUUCCGAGUGUCUUUGCUCUAUUUCUUCACCACUUGCCUUAUUGUAUAUCUGUUAUCUAGUUUGGUUCUGAUCUUGAUGCUGAAAAAAUUCAGAUGCUCUUUGUUGAAAAUUAAUAAUCUAAAUUCUCUACAUGUUUUUGUGAUGACAUGCUUAUGGAUUUUGUGACACAAUUGCGUGGACUCCUCUUUUUCCGUUUGUGUGAAAGUUAGA